UAGCCUUCGGGUUCGCAUUGUAAUUUGUAGAGGAUGAUUUGGGGAAGCCGCCUGUCUAAGUUCCUUGGAACAGGACGUCAUAGAGGGUGAGAAUCCCGUAUGUGACAGGAAAUGGCACCCUAUGUAAAUCUCCUUCGACGAGUCGAGUUGUUUGGGAAUGCAGCUCUAAAUGGGAGGUAAAUUUCUUCUAAAGCUAAAUAUUGGCGAGAGACCGAUAGCGCACAAGUAGAGUGAUCGAAAGAUGAAAAGCACUUUGGAAAGAGAGUUAAAAAGCACGUGAAAUUGUUGAAAGGGAAGCGCUUGCAAUCAGACUUGUUUAAACUGUUCGGCCGGUCUUCUGACCGGUUUACUCAGUUUGGACAGGCCAGCAUCAGUUUCGGCGGCCGGAUAAAGGCUCUGGGAAUGUGGCCUCCACUUCGGUGGAGGUGUUAUAGCCCAGGGUGUAAUACGGCCAGCCGGGACUGAGGUCCGCGCUUCGGCUAGGAUGCUG
RNAcentral lists this ribosomal RNA (490 nucleotides) under Aureobasidium pullulans. RNAcentral describes it as "eukaryotic LSU rRNA". It matches the Rfam family "Eukaryotic large subunit ribosomal RNA", at positions 123 to 628 of the family's 3401-position model. Lineage: Eukaryota; Fungi; Ascomycota; Dothideomycetes; Dothideales; Saccotheciaceae. The record is from RNAcentral.